Molecule: ribosomal RNA, 1383 nt
Filed under: uncultured organism
Description: 16S ribosomal RNA
Rfam family: Bacterial small subunit ribosomal RNA
Source: RNAcentral
GCUUAACACAUGCAAGUCGAGGGGUAACGACUCCGUCUUCGGAUGGAGGUCGACGACCGGCGCACGGGUGAGUAACGCGUAUGCAACCUACCUUUUACAGGAGGAUAGCCCAGAGAAAUUUGGAUUAAUACUCCAUAGUACUAAUGAAUCACCUGGUUUAUUAGUUAAAACUCCGGUGGUAAAAGAUGGGCAUGCGUGUCAUUAGCUAGUUGGUAAGGUAACGGCUUACCAAGGCGAAGAUGACUAGGGGUUCUGAGAGGAAGAUCCCCCACACUGGUACUGAGACACGGACCAGACUCCUACGGGAGGCAGCAGUGAGGAAUAUUGGUCAAUGGGUGAGAGCCUGAACCAGCCAUGCCGCGUGAAGGAAGACUGCCCUAUGGGUUGUAAACUUCUUUUCUGCAGGAAGAAAUCACUCUACGUGUAGGGUGUUGCCGGUACUGUAGGAAUAAGCAUCGGCUAACUCCGUGCCAGCAGCCGCGGUAAUACGGAGGAUGCAAGCGUUAUCCGGAUUUAUUGGGUUUAAAAGGGUGCGUAGGCGGGCUUGUAAGUCAGUGGUGAAAUGCUGUGGCUUAACCAUAGAAUUGCCAUUGAAACUGCAAGUCUUGAGUAUAGUUGAGGUGGGCGGAAUGAGUAAUGUAGCGGUGAAAUGCAUAGAUAUUACUCAGAACUCCGAUUGCGUAGGCAGCUUGCUAAACUGUAACUGACGCUGAUGCACGAAAGCGUGGGGAGCGAACAGGAUUAGAUACCCUGGUAGUCCACGCUGUAAACGAUGAGCACUGGUUGUUGGCAAUACACCGUCAGCGACUGAGCGAAAGUAUUAAGUGCUCCACCUGGGGAGUACGUCGGCAACGAUGAAACUCAAAGGAAUUGACGGGGGCCCGCACAAGCGGAGGAACAUGUGGUUUAAUUCGAUGAUACGCGAGGAACCUUACCUGGGCUUAAAUGUAGAGUGCAUUGCUUGGAAACAGGCAUUUUCUUCGGAACUCUUUACAAGGUGCUGCAUGGUUGUCGUCAGCUCGUGCCGUGAGGUGUCGGGUUAAGUCCCAUAACGAGCGCAACCCCUAUUGUUAGUUACCAGCACGUAAUGGAGGGGACUCUAGCAAGACUGCCGGUGUAAACCGUGAGGAAGGUGGGGAUGACGUCAAAUCAGCACGGCCCUUAUGUCCAGGGCUACACACGUGUUACAAUGGCAAGUACAAAGAGCAGCCACCUGGCGACAGGGCGCUAAUCUCAAAAGCUUGCCUCAGUUCGGAUCGAAGUCUGCAACUCGACUUCGUGAAGGUGGAUUCGCUAGUAAUCGCGCAUCAGCCAUGGCGCGGUGAAUACGUUCCCGGGCCUUGUACACACCGCCCGUCAAGCCAUGGAGCCGGGGGUACCUGA